Molecule: non-coding RNA, 948 nt
Organism: Pelobates cultripes (western spadefoot toad)
Lineage: Eukaryota; Metazoa; Chordata; Amphibia; Anura; Pelobatidae
Source: the annotation of a GenBank genome assembly
CCAGAUUGACACCCUCACCACAGCUCACAACACUCUAAGCCACCACCUUGCAGCCAUGGAGGAUAGAAGAAGGUGGAAACACCUGAAAAUCAGGGGUCUCACAGACAAUAUCACCCAGGCAGAAUUACCACACUGCAUGCGCAGGCUCUUCACAGCCCUUCUCUCUCCCAAACAAGCCAGGGGCAUUACACUGGAUGGGAUGUUUCGGCUCCCCAGGCCUCCCUCAGCCACUGCCUCCAACACCAGCGACAUACUGGUCAAAUUUCAAAAUGGCCAGGACAAGGCAGCCGUUAUGAGUGCAGUGCGAGGCAAACCCCCGUUCCGGUUCGAGGAGAUGGAAAUCACCUUCUAUUCUGAUCUCUCCCGCCAGACCCUACAGUGGCGAAAAACACUACGUCCCCUCACAUCCAUAUUAUCGUCGAAGGGACUCAAAUACCGCUGGGGCCCAACACGAGCGCUACUCAUCCAGCAUCAGAACACAGAGAUCAGGGUGACUGAGGCAUCGGAGAUCGAGGCAACUCUGACCACACUGGGUUUGAACCGCACUGCAAUGGCUGCACCGACAGCUUGGGACCCGGCUAACGCUAUCCCGUUCAUCCCGGCGAGUAGGAGUUUACCCAGCCGAGCAAAUACUUGACUCUGGAGACUGCCUUCUCUGUUUAUUUUUGUUUAUUUUAGUUUAUUUUAGUUUAAAUCUUGUUUCCUCACCUAUUACGACAUACGGGCCUCAUGGGGCCAGCAUCUUACAGAUGCACAGUUAGCACAGCAUAAGUUUUUUAGUUGUUAUUGUAUUUUCCUUUACUCAGACAACACUUAAAUGCUACGCAUCUACAUAUACAACGCAAGCAGGGAAGGACCGUAACCAUCUUUCCCACCAGACAAGCCUAAAUGAGCCGCGACCGGGAUUAACCCGGGAACACAGGCUCCCUAAAGACCACCAACCCCCCC